GGGGAAUAGCCCGGGGAAACCCGGAUUAAUACCGCAUGUGGUCCACGGACCAAAGCCUUCGGGCGCCAGAGGAUGAGCCUGCGUCCCAUUACCUUGUAGGUGGGGUAACGGCCCACCUAGGGAACGAUGGGUAGCUGGUCUGAGAGGAUGAUCAGCCACACUGGGACUGUGACACGGCCCAGACUCCUACGGGAGGCAGCAGUGGGGAAUAUUGCGCAAUGGGGGAAACCCUGACGCAGCCAUGCCGCGUGUGUGAUGAAGGCCCUCGGGUCGUAAAGCACUGUUUGGAGGGAAGAAGUUCUGACGGUACCUCCCAAGAAAGCACCGGCUAACUCCGUGCCAGCAGCCGCGGUAAUACGGAGGGUGCAAGCGUUGCUCGGAAUCACUGGGCGUAAAGGGUACGCAGGCGGAUCGUUAAGUCGGGUGUGAAAGCCCGGGGCUCAACCCCGGAAUUGCGCCCGAUACUGGCGGUCUUGAGUACGGGAGAGGGAUAGCGGAAUUCCUGGUGUAGAGGUGAAAUUCGUAGAUAUCAGGAGGAACACCAGUGGCGAAAGCGGCUUCCUGGCCCGAUACUGACGCUCAUGUACGAAAGCGUGGGGAGCAAACAGGAUUAGAUACCCUGGUAGUCCACGCCGUAAACGAUGAGUGCUAGCUGCCGGAAAUGUCUACCGUUUCGGUGGCGAAGCCAACGCAUUAAGCACUCCGCCUGGGAAGUACGGGCGCAAGGCUAGAACUCAAAGGAAUUGACGGGGGCCCGCACAAGCGGUGGAGCAUGUGGUUUAAUUCGAAGCAACGCGCAGAACCUUACCCAGGCAUGACAUCCCUGGAACCACGUGGAAACAUGUGGGUGCCUACUCACGAAGGAACCGGGUGACAGGUGCUGCAUGGCUGUCGUCAGCUCGUGCUGUGAGGUGUUCGGUUAAGUCCGGCAACGAGCGCAACCCCUGUCGCUAGUUACCAGCAUUCAGUUGGGGACUCUAGCGAGACUGCCGGUGAUAAACCGGAGGAAGGUGGGGAUGACGUCAAGUCCUCAUGGCCCUUAUGUCUGGGGCUACACACGUGCUACAAUGGCGUUUACAGAGGGCUGCGAGACCGCGAGGUGGAGCAAAUCCCAAAAAGGACGCCUCAGUUCGGAUUGGAGUCUGCAACUCGACUCCAUGAAG
This 1163-nucleotide ribosomal RNA is filed under the name uncultured bacterium. RNAcentral's name for it is "bacterial SSU rRNA". It matches the Rfam family "Bacterial small subunit ribosomal RNA", at positions 138 to 1325 of the family's 1533-position model. The record is from RNAcentral.